This 450-nucleotide ribosomal RNA is filed under the name uncultured bacterium. Its description in RNAcentral is "partial 16S ribosomal RNA". It matches the Rfam family "Bacterial small subunit ribosomal RNA", at positions 354 to 796 of the family's 1533-position model. The record is from RNAcentral.
GUGGGGAAUUUUGGACAAUGGGGGCAACCCUGAUCCAGCCAUUCCGCGUGAGUGAAGAAGGCCUUCGGGUUGUAAAGCUCUUUCGUCAGGAACGAAACGGCGGGCUCUAACAUAGCCUGUUAAUGACGGUACCUGAAGAAGAAGCACCGGCUAACUACGUGCCAGCAGCCGCGGUAAUACGUAGGGUGCGGGCGUUAAUCGGAAUUACUGGGCGUAAAGCGUGCGCAGGCGGAUUGUUAAGCAAGGAGUGAAAGCCCCGGGCUUAACCUGGGAAUGGCGUUUUGAACUGGCAGUCUAGGGUGCGUCAGAGGGGGGUGGAAGUCCACGUGUAGCAGUGAAAUGCGUAGAGAUGUGGAGGAACACCGAUGGCGAAGGCAGCCCCCUGGGAUGACACUGACGCUCAUGUACGAAAGCGUGGGUAGCAAACAGGAUUAGAAACCCGGGUAGUCC